This 336-nucleotide ribosomal RNA is filed under the name Triticum aestivum (bread wheat). Its description in RNAcentral is "partial small subunit ribosomal RNA". Lineage: Eukaryota; Viridiplantae; Streptophyta; Magnoliopsida; Poales; Poaceae. The record is from RNAcentral.
AUGGGCGCGGGCCUAUACGGUUACCUUGAUCAAACCAUUGAAGAACCUUCCAAAACAAUCACCACCAAGACCACCGACAGCAAGGAUCAGGUUGCUGUGAACUCUACCUAUGCCCCCUAGUUAAUCUAGGACCAACAAAUCAUAGCCUAUCUUCUCAGGAAUCUGUUCAAAGAGGUUCUCGUCCAGGUCGUGUUGCUUGAGCGAUCACGUGCGAUCUGGAGCGCCCUAGGGAACAUGUUCUCGGAUGUCUCCCUCUCUCGCGCCAACAACAUCCGAGCAGCUCUCACCAACGCACAAAAGGGGUCCCAAUCCUCCUCAGCAUACUUCGGCCACAUG